AUAUGUCCUGGGCAACUACAGAACCAACACCCACAAUUAUCAACGUGUUAUGAAAUAGAAAAAAAAAUCUCCAGUUGGUUAUAUACAGUAUAUAUAUAGAGCCUGCAAACUGAGCGAAGGAGAACUACAAGCACCGACAGACAGAGAUACGCAAGACUCAAAGUGACAAGAAGAGAAAAUGAAGAGCGUUCUGCUGCUUGUGGGGAUAGUUCUGUGUUUGGCUCUGGUGGAAGGCGGCUUAGUCAACAUGCUCUUACCAGGGCACUGUCAUUUACCAGAAGAGAAACAUGAGCCAUGUCCUUGUCAAACCGAACUUACCUGCGAGAAUCGAUACGCGUCCAUCGUAUGCGUUCGGAAUUGCAAUCUCCCUAAUAAAUGUCGGUGUAAAGAGGACCAUGUCCGCAACAAAGUGGGACUCUGUGUAAAACCGAAGCAUUGUUGGUAGAUAUAGGACAUAAAUGAUAUAGAUGUACAUACCUACUGUCAUAUGCUGCGUAUUAUCUUUCCAUUAUA
This is a long non-coding RNA of Pseudophryne corroboree (corroboree frog), 513 nucleotides long. RefSeq lists it as uncharacterized. The transcript has 4 exons. The record is from RefSeq and is a predicted model, not a curated record. Lineage: Eukaryota; Metazoa; Chordata; Amphibia; Anura; Myobatrachidae.